This 496-nucleotide ribosomal RNA is filed under the name uncultured bacterium. Its description in RNAcentral is "partial 16S ribosomal RNA". It matches the Rfam family "Bacterial small subunit ribosomal RNA", at positions 30 to 507 of the family's 1533-position model. The record is from RNAcentral.
CUGACCGCUGGCGGCGUGCCUAAUACAUGCAAGUCGAGCGAACAGACGAGGAGCUUGCUCCUCUGACGUUAGCGGCGGACGGGUGAGUAACACGUGGAUAACCUACCUAUAAGACUGGGAUAACUUCGGGAAACCGGAGCUAAUACCGGAUAAUAUAUUGAACCGCAUGGUUCAAUAGUGAAAGACGGUUUUGCUGUCACUUAUAGAUGGAUCCGCGCCGCAUUAGCUAGUUGGUAAGGUAACGGCUUACCAAGGCAACGAUGCGUAGCCGACCUGAGAGGGUGAUCGGCCACACUGGAACUGAGACACGGUCCAGACUCCUACGGGAGGCAGCAGUAGGGAAUCUUCCGCAAUGGGCGAAAGCUUGACGGAGCAACGCCGCGUGAGUGAUGAAGGUCUUCGGAUCGUAAAACUCUGUUAUUAGGGAAGAACAAAUGUGUAAGUAACUAUGCACGUCUUGACGGUACCUAAUCAGAAAGCCACGGCUAACUACGUG